Molecule: ribosomal RNA, 492 nt
Filed under: uncultured bacterium
Lineage: Bacteria
Description: partial 16S ribosomal RNA
Rfam family: Bacterial small subunit ribosomal RNA
Source: RNAcentral
AGUGAACGCUGGCGGUAGGCCUAACACAUGCAAGUCGAACGGCAGCACAGUAAGAGCUUGCUCUUACGGGUGGCGAGUGGCGGACGGGUGAGGAAUACAUCGGAAUCUACUUUUUCGUGGGGGAUAACGUAGGGAAACUUACGCUAAUACCGCAUACGACCUACGGGUGAAAGCAGGGGAUCUUCGGACCUUGCGCGAUUGAAUGAGCCGAUGUCGGAUUAGCAAGUUGGCGGGGUAAUGGCCCACCAAGGCGACGAUCCGUAGCUGGUCUGAGAGGAUGAUCAGCCACACUGGAACUGAGACACGGUCCAGACUCCUACGGGAGGCAGCAGUGGGGAAUAUUGGACAAUGGGCGCAAGCCUGAUCCAGCCAUACCGCGUGGGUGAAGAAGGCCUUCGGGUUGUAAAGCCCUUUUGUUGGGAAAGAAAAGCAGCAGGUUAAUACCCCGCUGUUCUGACGGUACCCAAAGAAUAAGCACCGGCUAACUUCGUG